CUAUGAUUCUAUGAUGUGAUUCUGUGUGUGACUAGGUGUCUGAGAAAGCCUAGAGCCAACAACAAAACAGAAUUUGCUAGCUAGUGAUUUGGAAAAGUCCUCACAAAAUUGAUUCCAUUAUUUCUGCCAGCACAAAUGUGUAUCUAGCUGCUGUGAGAUUGUUCUGAAUCAUGGCAGAGUACUGAAAAGUUACAAACAUACAUGCACCCAUGCCACGGACCUACUGCAAAGGCCAAGGUACUAAUAACAAUAUUUGCAAGAGUCCAGGAGCAGGACACUGAUUCGGAAAGUCCCCUGGGAAGCAGCCAUUAAAAACAAGAGGGCUCAGGAAGACUGGACACACUUUAAGAAAGAAAUCUUCAAGAAGAAACUGCAGACCUUCCCUAGAUGCCAGAAGGUUUUCUCCUUGAGCUCGGCCUACAGUCACUUGCAGGAGAACCACCUUCUACUAAAUCUCCCUUGGCAGACAAAUACAAUUAAGCAAGAUGAAUUCCACCCUUAACAAGCACUUCAAACUAAUCACUACAGUGAAAACAACUGUCCCAAAUAAUAUUAAACAGGCUGUAACUGAA
Long non-coding RNA from Passer domesticus (house sparrow), 572 nucleotides. RefSeq lists it as uncharacterized. NCBI's taxonomy places the organism in Eukaryota, Metazoa, Chordata, Aves, Passeriformes, Passeridae. The transcript is spliced from 4 exons. The record is from RefSeq and is a predicted model, not a curated record.